CAGCCGCCGCGGUAAUACGUAGGGUGCGAGCGUUAAUCGGAUUUACUGGGCGUAAAGCGUGCGCAGGCGGCCCGUUAAGACAGGUGUGAAAUCCCUGGGCUCAACCUAGGAAUUGCGCUUGUGACUGGCGGGCUCGAGUACGGUAGAGGGGGGUGGAAUUCCUGGUGUAGCAGUGAAAUGCGUAGAGAUCAGGAGGAACACCGAUGGCGAAGGCAGCCCCCUGGGCCUGUACUGACGCUCAUGCACGAAAGCGUGGGGAGCAAACAGGAUUAGAUACCCUGGUAGUCCACGCCCUAAACUAUGGGUACUAGCCGUUUGGUGCGCGAUAGCGCUGAGUGGCGAAGCUAACGCGUGAAGUACCCCGCCUGGGGAGUACGGCCGCAAGGUUGAAACUUAAAGGAAUUGGCGGG
Molecule: ribosomal RNA, 410 nt
Filed under: uncultured microorganism
Description: bacterial SSU rRNA
Rfam family: Bacterial small subunit ribosomal RNA
Source: RNAcentral